This 351-nucleotide ribosomal RNA is filed under the name Triticum aestivum (bread wheat). Its description in RNAcentral is "partial small subunit ribosomal RNA". The record is from RNAcentral. Lineage: Eukaryota; Viridiplantae; Streptophyta; Magnoliopsida; Poales; Poaceae.
AUGGUUCAAGUGAGCAAUGGCCCUUAUCUAAUAGAGGGAAUCCACAACAUAGAAAGCAUCACAGGAGAGUUAAGGUGGUAUACAGAGGAAUGCAUAUUCUUGUCAGUCGAGCAACCAAAUCAAAGGGAACUUAUCUUUGCAUUAAUUAUUCCAUCAACCAUGAAUAAAAACAAAAGCAUAAUGAAGAGUCACUCGGAAGCAAAGUUAGUUUUCAUGCACAAAUUGAGAAGCCACCAAACAAUAUAUGAACAUAAAAGUUUAUUUCACUAUUGGUUUAGCAGCAAAUACCCUAAGCAUAGUGCAUAUGACAGCAUGCAGGAACUUAAGAAAGUGAUCAAAUUAUCUCUCUAG